This 715-nucleotide ribosomal RNA is filed under the name uncultured cyanobacterium. RNAcentral's name for it is "bacterial SSU rRNA". It matches the Rfam family "Bacterial small subunit ribosomal RNA", at positions 66 to 826 of the family's 1533-position model. Lineage: Bacteria; Bacillati; Cyanobacteriota. The record is from RNAcentral.
ACGGGCUCUUCGGAGCUAGUGGCGGACGGGUGAGUAACGCGUGAGAAUCUGGCUUCAGGUUCGGGACAACAGUUGGAAACGGCUGCUAAUACCGGAUGUGCCUUAGGGUGAAAGAUUUAUCACCUGAAGAUGAGCUCGCGUCUGAUUAGCUAGUAGGUGUGGUAAGAGCGCACCUAGGCGACGAUCAGUAGCUGGUCUGAGAGGAUGAUCAGCCACACUGGGACUGAGACACGGCCCAGACUCCUACGGGAGGCAGCAGUGGGGAAUUUUCCGCAAUGGGCGAAAGCCUGACGGAGCAAUACCGCGUGAGGGAGGAAGGCUCUUGGGUUGUAAACCUCUUUUCUCAGGGAAGAAAAAAUGACGGUACCUGAGGAAUAAGCAUCGGCUAACUCCGUGCCAGCAGCCGCGGUAAUACGGAGGAUGCAAGCGUUAUCCGGAAUGAUUGGGCGUAAAGCGUCCGCAGGUGGCAAUGUAAGUCUGCUGUCAAAGCGUCUGGCUCAACCAGAUAAAGGCAGUGGAAACUACAUAGCUAGAGUAAGGUAGGGGUAGAGGGAAUUCCUGGUGUAGCGGUGAAAUGCGUAGAGAUCAGGAAGAACACCGGUGGCGAAAGCGCUCUGCUGGACCUAAACUGACACUGAGGGACGAAAGCUAGGGGAGCGAAUGGGAUUAGAUACCCCAGUAGUCCUAGCCGUAAACGAUGGAUACUAGGCGUUGC